AUGCUUCCAUUGGCAGCACAUGUACCAAAAUUGAAAUGAUACAGAGAACACUAGCAUGGCCCCUACACAGAAUAAUAUGCAAAUUUGUGAAGCGGUCCAUAUUUUU
Molecule: small nuclear RNA, 106 nt
Organism: Arvicanthis niloticus (Nile rat)
Lineage: Eukaryota; Metazoa; Chordata; Mammalia; Rodentia; Muridae
Source: RefSeq, a predicted model, not a curated record